GUGUAAAUAGUUAGCGUUAAGAAAAAACUAUAUGUACGACAAAAAAUCCCCAAAACUACGUUAAUAAUGCAACGAUCAUUUGAAAUGAGCCCAACGAUUGUACUAAAUCUAGCUUGAAAAUAAACUAGAAGAGCUAAUUACGCUGCAAAGUGUCUGUCAUUCUCAUUCGCUGUUCAUCACAUUCGCACACACCCCGAAUUGCUAUUUCCGCCGAUCAGAACGUUCGAGCCUUCGUUGCAGCUGGUUGUAAGAAGCUGAUCGUCGACCACCUUAUCGUGCAAGAAAGGCACUGAUGUUUCCACCAUAAGGAACGAGCACGCUACAAUAAGAUCGUAAGUUGGCCAUUCAUUGCGAAAGAAUUACGCAGUUCACGGACCCCGUAACUACCCAACAGAUUUUAUUCCACGAUAACCGGCAAGAAGAUCAGCGGUACCUGUGAGAGCAACGUGAGGCUGGGAUGAGCAAGCCUGCUCCGUAUCUGCAAAAAGCAUCGUAAGUGGACAUAAUCUCUAUGACAACCGUCAGACCCCAAUUGCACAAUAUCGGUUCACAGAUCUCCACCGGCUCGGUCGAUCUACCAUCUCCGGUGCAGCAGCACGCGGUAGAGAAUUAUCAACACACGGGGCUGGAUAGUCUUGAGCAAACGCAAUCAACGCACGAGGUUGGAUCCGAGGGGACGCCGGACAAUUCACGGCAAAUAUCCUGCAAACCGGGAAGCAGUAGUGACCGGAAGACGAUUUUCCGGAUAAACCCACAAGAGGCCAGUGUUGUCCGACGGGAGACAGUUCGGAACAUUCGAGGUCCACUAUACGAUAGUUACCCCACGGGGGCACUCAGGAGCUCACGAGCCAACUCCUCUGUCGACGCCACCGCAGUGUAGAGCGGGCCAUCACACUAACACCCGUACGCAAGCGAACGAACGAAGCCUUUCCAUAACAGGAGGGCUUCGUUUGCAGGGGUCGAGUUGCACGUCGCAUCGAGUAAGAUCUGGUGUAAGCAGGAGAGCCAACGAGAGACGCUCGCCACUCGGAGCGACGUAGGAAGCCGUCGGGGAAAACAUCACCGCAAAUCGUUGGUUCAGUGACGACAGUGAUCAAGCGAGGUUUAAGCUACGCGAGUGUGCAUCGGUGCAUCGGACAAUGCUGUUCCCGUAGCGGUGUGUGUGCGCUUGUGAGUAAUUGCGAACCGUGACGUCGUGUUGUGGACGGCAGCCGCGACGGUGAGCGCCAACGACGUCGCCGGCAACGAGAGUUGUGAGCAGCACACUAGGGUAGCAUGUUACAGAACGGGCCCGUGAGUAAACAACGAUAUUGUAUUUAUGAUAAGAAAACGAAACUGAGUCAGGAGGCACAUUAGGGAAGCAGUUUAGGCCAGACGAUGCUGGAACGUAUGUUGGGAAAAAUAAAUGUAGCAUAAGCAUGAAAUUUGUGGCAUGUGUUUUGGGAUUGCAUCGCUUGUAAGCUGAGCUAAUCGGCGAUCGAUUGGUCCUUGAUCCAACGAUCGGAAAACCC
This is an RNA transcript of Aedes albopictus (Asian tiger mosquito), 1511 nucleotides long. RefSeq lists it as uncharacterized. The record is from RefSeq and is a predicted model, not a curated record. The transcript has 4 exons. NCBI's taxonomy places the organism in Eukaryota, Metazoa, Arthropoda, Insecta, Diptera, Culicidae.